Molecule: long non-coding RNA, 854 nt
Organism: Mesocricetus auratus (golden hamster)
Lineage: Eukaryota; Metazoa; Chordata; Mammalia; Rodentia; Cricetidae
Exons: 3
Source: RefSeq, a predicted model, not a curated record
AUGUAAAACAAGCUUGUUCCUAAUUUAAAUAAAAAAUAAAUAGAAAAAAGAAUGGCCCCAUAGGCUCAUAUACUUCAAUGUUCAGUCACCAGGGACUGGUACUACUUGAAAGGAUUAGGAAGCAUGGCCUUGUUGGAGGAAGUAUGUCACUGAGGGUGGGCUCUCUCUUCCUGUUCUCUUCAGAUCCAGAACUCUCAGCUGCCAUACCUGCCUGUAUGAUGCCAUGCUCACCAUCAUGUUGAUAAUAGACUAAACCUCUGAAACUGUAAGCCAGGUUCAAUUAAAUGCUUUCUUUUAUGAGUUACCAUGGUCAUGAUGUCUCUUCACAACAAUAGAAUACUGACUAAGUUCUAGUAAUGUGUCCCAGGACCUGACCCAUGCUAAGACAGUGAGUCACAAGCCCAGGAUUCUUGAAGGAGGCAUUUUGUCAGCAAUGGAGCAGUAACUACUAGUCCAGUGUAGCUCAGUGGUAGAGCACUUGCCUUGCAUGCAUGAGGACCUGGGUUCAAUCUCUAGAACCAGAUAUUACCACUUACUUCUAAAAAAGGUAAGAUUAGAGCAUUGAUCUACACUGAGCCUCAGUCUCUUGCAUAAAUGAAGGUCACAUGUGUUCUCAAGAAAAUCCAGAUUCUCCUAUACCACAGAAUUUGAAUUUGUCACCUGUGUGCAGACAGGGGAGGAAGUAUGCACUGACCAGAAAAAUGAAUAAGAUGGCCAUGACUAUACACAUUUCUAGUGGAACAUGGCAAGUGACAGAUGAUCAUGGUGAUGACCUGAAUAUGUGUGUACAAAUACAAAGAAACACAUUAAAAUAAGCAAAUGAGCCGGGCGUUGGUGGCCCUCGCCAUUAAUCC